This 305-nucleotide ribosomal RNA is filed under the name uncultured bacterium. Its description in RNAcentral is "bacterial SSU rRNA". It matches the Rfam family "Bacterial small subunit ribosomal RNA", at positions 337 to 660 of the family's 1533-position model. The record is from RNAcentral.
UCCUACGGGGGGCAGCAGUGGGGGAUAUUGCACAAUGGGGGGAACCCUGAUGCAGCGACGCCGCGUGGGUGAAGAAGCGCCUCGGCGCGUAAAGCCCUGUCAGCAGGGAAGAAAAUGACGGUACCUGGGGAGGAAGCUCCGGCUAACUACGUGCCAGCAGCCGCGGUAAUACGUAGGGAGCGAGCGUUGUCCGGAAUUACUGGGUGUAAAGGGGGCGUAGGCGGGGAUGCAAGUUGGGUGUCAAAACUACCGGCUCAACUGGUAGUCGCACUCAAAACUGCAGCUCUUGAGUGAAGUAGAGGCAG